RNAcentral lists this ribosomal RNA (358 nucleotides) under uncultured bacterium. RNAcentral's name for it is "bacterial SSU rRNA". It matches the Rfam family "Bacterial small subunit ribosomal RNA", at positions 29 to 369 of the family's 1533-position model. The record is from RNAcentral.
ACGAACGCUGGCGGCGUGCCUAACACAUGCAAGUCGAGCGGGAAAGUUCCCUUCGGGGAGCGAGUACAGCGGCGCACGGGUGAGUAACACGUAGGUAACCUACCCUGGAGACUGGGAUAACCUGCCGAAAGGCGGGCUAAUACCAGAUAAGACCACAGGGGCUCCGGCCCCAGAGGCAAAAGGUGGCCUCUGCUUGCAAGCUACCACUCCGCGAUGGGCCUGCGCGCCAUUAGCUAGUUGGUGAGGUAACGGCUCACCAAGGCAGAGAUGGCUAGCUGGUCUGAGAGGAUGGCCAGCCACACUGGGACUGAGACACGGCCCAGACUCCUACGGGAGGCAGCAGUGGGGAAUAUUGCGC